Molecule: non-coding RNA, 601 nt
Organism: Carassius carassius (crucian carp)
Lineage: Eukaryota; Metazoa; Chordata; Actinopteri; Cypriniformes; Cyprinidae
Source: the annotation of a RefSeq genome assembly
ACUUCAGUUAAAAAAGAGGUUUCCACUGUUAAAAUGUUUUGCAUUGACAGCUCAUGCCUCAGUGCUCAGUGAGUGUUUAUAGUCCUUUCCCUACCGUUUGAAAAGGUCCAAGAAUUGUUCUCUCUAAAUCACUAGCCAAUAUGAUUCUCUUCAUCUGGGCAUUUUACUGCAUCCAAGGUUCUUUUGGGCAGGUUGUUGUGACCCAGUCUGAGGAUAAAUCAGUUCAGCUCGGUCAAACAGUCUCCAUUGAUUGCAAGUUCAACACUGUGGUUUAUAGGCAUCCAACAGGCAGCCCAUCUAAAGAUUACUACAUCUUCUGGUAUCUUCAGAGGCCAGAUGAACCCCCUAAACUCCUCAUAUAUUUUACAACAAUGAAGCCUUCAAGUGCACCAUCUAGAAUGAGUGGAGGAGGCAGUUUUCACUCUGGAGGAAAUGGUCUUGAUUUCACUCUGACUGUAAACGAUGUCCAGAGUAAUGAUGCUGGAGAUUAUUAUUGUCUGAGUUACCACGAGACCAGUAGUAAAGGAGUGCUCACACAGUGAAAACAUUCUGUACAAAAACAUCCCCACUGACAAGGCUUCAGAGACCUGUUGACAGAACA